CGUCCACACCAUGGGAGUCGGAAAUGCCCGAAGUCAGUGACCCAACCGUAAGGAGGGAGCUGCCGAAGGUGGAGCCGGUAACUGGGUGAAGUCGUAACAAGGUAUC
This 106-nucleotide ribosomal RNA is filed under the name uncultured bacterium. RNAcentral describes it as "partial 16S ribosomal RNA". It matches the Rfam family "Bacterial small subunit ribosomal RNA", at positions 1395 to 1500 of the family's 1533-position model. The record is from RNAcentral.